This 482-nucleotide long non-coding RNA is filed under the name Calidris pygmaea (Spoon-billed sandpiper). RNAcentral's name for it is "lncRNA (ENSCPGG00000019193.1)". Lineage: Eukaryota; Metazoa; Chordata; Aves; Charadriiformes; Scolopacidae. The record is from RNAcentral.
AUGCCAUGGGGUUUGGGUAUGGGUGUGAUUUUUGUCAUAACUUGCUUUCCAGGUUAAAGAAGAUCUUCACAAGCUUAAAGUCAAAGUGACAAAUAUUAACUUGAAAGGAAAUGUAGAAACCGUGGACAUUAGUGACCUGGAUACAGCAACUAAACGAACUGAACUUGAGCUGAGAACACAUGCUGAAAAUUAUUUCAAUGCUGUAAACAGACAAGAGUUAACUAUUUCUUCUACUAAUAAUAAAGAAGUGCAUUCAAAAGAGCCCCCUAAGCGGGGCCUUCCUUUUGGUGCUUCUCAGAAACAGCUUAUUUUACCACGAGUACCUGUUGAGCCAGUGACUGUCCAGGCAUACAGCAAAUCAGCACUACGCGUUUCUCAAAGUUCACAGGUCUGAGAUAACAUACUGUUUAUUCUGCCAGAGACCACAUUAAAUGAGCAGGCUGCUGUCUCCUAGGUUGCCAGUUGAUCCCAUAAUGUUCUGA